Molecule: non-coding RNA, 570 nt
Organism: Ciona intestinalis (vase tunicate)
Lineage: Eukaryota; Metazoa; Chordata; Ascidiacea; Phlebobranchia; Cionidae
Source: RefSeq, a predicted model, not a curated record
AAAAAUGUGCUCACAAAAAAAUUUCAUACAACAUUUAUGUCUGGGGGAUAUGAAGACAACUAUAUUAUAUCUUGGCAUUAAGCAUGAAGAACUUGGUGGGAAAAGUGAAACUUGAGUGUCGGUUAAGAUGGCAACAACCAUAUUUGUCACCUUAUUAUACAAUAUUGCUUCAGCAAGUCAACCAUCUUUGCUGGUUUCUUUUCAAUGAUGUCUUCUGUUUCGGAAACUGUACUGACACUGAUUGAGCUGGUGUUACUAACUUAGACAAAUUACUUUCGGACUUGGAGGAAAGCUAAAAUGUAAGUUUGUUUUAUAUAAUUUAUUUUGAGUUCUGAUAAUCUUUGUUUUAAUAAUCUGUUGUUGGGUCUAUAGUAGGUUGGACUGUAAUAUAAUGCAUAUUUGUUCCAUUUGGUAGUUUUUACCUCACAGUACUAUAUAGUAUUAAUAUAAAACAGAUCUUACAAAAAUUAUCAACAAUUUUGACAGUUAGACAUUAAGAUUAAACUGUUGUUCAAAAAAAAUAGUAUUUAUUUGUUACAUAACUACAACUAACAAUAAGAUACAACACUA